UCUCCGUAGGUGAACCUGCGGAGGGAUCAUUACAGAGUUCAUGCCCUUACGGGUAGAUCUCCCACCCUGUGUUAUUAUUACCUUUGUUGCUUUGGCGGGCCGUCCGGCGUCGGCCAGGCUACCGGCUCCGGCUGGUAAGCGCCCGCCAGAGGACCUAAAACCCUGAAUGUUAGUGUCGUCUGAGUACUAUAUAAUAGUUAAAACUUUCAACAACGGAUCUCUUGGUUCUG
This 230-nucleotide unclassified non-coding RNA is filed under the name plant metagenome. Its description in RNAcentral is "partial contains small subunit ribosomal RNA, internal transcribed spacer 1, and 5.8S ribosomal RNA". The record is from RNAcentral.